AUUGAGGUAUGUGACUCAAAAAUAUUAUCUCCCAAAUACUUUAUUCAGAAACCUGCUGAGGGAUACCCUUCAAAAUCAAGAAGUCAAGAAAGAGUAACAUUUAGGACUUGGGUAGCGGAGAAUCCACAUGAAGAGAGGAGCAGAGUCCUAGCUAGAGACCGUGUAUGUUGGAGCAGACGGCCGGCCUCCCAGAGAUGCAGUGCCAGGAAGGCUGUUUAUUGGGGUCCCUUUCUCUCCAGCCCAUUUGCUGGAGUAGGGCUUUGCAAAGCCGGUCUCCUAGCAGCCGAGUGCAGAAGGCCCAUUCGUAUUACAAUGGACGGGAAGGAAAGAAAGAGCCUGGUCUGUUUAAACUGCCUCUGUCUUCAUUCACAGCCUGAUGUCCGCCUGCAUUGUGACACCCACAAUGGCACUAAAGGACUCAUUGUGGCCGAAAACAAAUCAAAACAGAAUAAGGGACGCUAAGAUAAAAGAGUCAUGCAGCAAAAUUGCUUAAAAAAUCUAAGUCUUACAUCUGAGAUUUAUGUUACCUUUUGGCUGUGUGGCCUAUUGACCGGUGUUUAUAAUAACCACUAGAGUUUAAUAAACAAAAAGAUAAAUGGGGACUUCA
Molecule: long non-coding RNA, 607 nt
Filed under: Vulpes vulpes (red fox)
Lineage: Eukaryota; Metazoa; Chordata; Mammalia; Carnivora; Canidae
Description: lncRNA (ENSVVUG00000006922.1)
Source: RNAcentral